UAGAAUAUAAUUAAGGACUGUUUAUAUUGUUUUAUAUUUAAAUAUACAUAUAUAGAAUAAGGAGAUAAGUUAUGAAUGUUAAUGAGACAACUAUUAAUCAGUCCAAAUGAUAUGGAUGUUAAUAAACUCUAUAUCAUCUUCUCCUAGAGGAUAGUUACACUUUAAAUAUUUCACACAUUGAAGCAAUGUUCACGUUUCAAAAUUUAUUUUAGAAACCCACUCAUAGAAGUGAUUACAAAAUGCCAACCCUAGAGGCCACAUAAGACAGAUAGAAAAGGUCUCUGCUAAUCUUAGAACUUAUAGAUAUAUCAAUUUAUGUCAUUGGUUACCAUUUUAUUUCAUACCC
This 346-nucleotide long non-coding RNA is filed under the name Mytilus galloprovincialis (Mediterranean mussel). The record is from RNAcentral. Lineage: Eukaryota; Metazoa; Mollusca; Bivalvia; Mytilida; Mytilidae.